CAGUUUUUCCACAGGGGAGGCCUUGUUUCCUGGAGACCCUUCUGAAGUUUGAAUACUGGAGUGAACUCUCUUUCCAUGCUGGUUCUGGGCCCUCUCCACACCUGGUGCCGCCCUCCCUGGAAUCCCAGCCCCAUUGCUCCCCAGGGCACAGAUAACGGGAAUUUCAGAGUUAGUAGAAGGAAUUUUUUGCUGCAUCUGUGAUCGAGGCAUUUUAGAUAUACAUGUUGGUAGCCCUAAGCAUGAGGUUUAAUCUAUUUCUUAUAGAGGAAGGGUUCACAAUGGACCAAACUCUAAGGGUAACCCAAGGAGAUGGCAUAACAGGACUUCUGACCCAGACCAGCCAGUUUUGUUCUCAUAGUGACCUUCUGCUCACUCAUGAGCAAAACUCCCUUAGUUGAUAGGGAAUCCCUGAUAUGUCAGAGCCAGUAUGGGAAUAGGG
This 439-nucleotide long non-coding RNA is filed under the name Homo sapiens (human). RNAcentral's name for it is "HSALNT0133013". The record is from RNAcentral. Lineage: Eukaryota; Metazoa; Chordata; Mammalia; Primates; Hominidae.